GGCGAACGCUGGCGGCGUGCUUAACACAUGCAAGUCGAACGAUGAAGAAGAGAAACGCGAACUUCGGUUCAAAUUUCACUUCGGAUUAGUGGCAGACGGGUGAGUAACGCGUGAGCAACCUACCUCUUACAAAGGGAUAGCCUCGGGAAACCGUGAUUAAUACCAUAUGACACAUUCAUAAGGCAUCUUAAGAAUGUUAAAGCUACGGCGGUAAGAGAUGGGCUCGCGUCCCAUUAGCUAGUUGGUGAGGUAACGGCCCACCAAGGCGACGAUGGGUAACCGGCCUGAGAGGGUGAACGGUCACAUUGGAACUGAGACACGGUCCAAACUCCUACGGGAGGCAGCAGUGGGGAAUAUUGCACAAUGGAGGGAACUCUGAUGCAGCGACGCCGCGUGAGCGAUGAAGGAAUUCGUUUCGUAAAGCUCUGUUCUAUGGGAAGAAAAGGACUGUACCAUAGGAGAAAGCCCCGGCUAAAUACGUG
This 482-nucleotide ribosomal RNA is filed under the name uncultured bacterium. RNAcentral describes it as "partial 16S ribosomal RNA". It matches the Rfam family "Bacterial small subunit ribosomal RNA", at positions 28 to 507 of the family's 1533-position model. The record is from RNAcentral.